GACGUAGGGCGCGGGCGUUGUCCGGAUUUAUUGGGCGUAAAGAGCUCGUAGGCGGCUUGUCGCGUCGUCCGUGAAAACCUGCAGCUCAACUGCGGGCUUGCGGUCGAUACGGGCAGGCUAGAGUUCGGUAGGGGAGACUGGAAUUCCUGGUGUAGCGGUGAAAUGCGCAGAUAUCAGGAGGAACACCGGUGGCGAAGGCGGGUCUCUGGGCCGAUACUGACGCUGAGGAGCGAAAGCGUGGGGAGCGAACAGG
RNAcentral lists this ribosomal RNA (253 nucleotides) under uncultured bacterium. RNAcentral describes it as "partial 16S ribosomal RNA". It matches the Rfam family "Bacterial small subunit ribosomal RNA", at positions 524 to 776 of the family's 1533-position model. The record is from RNAcentral.